GUUGAUCCCGCCGGAGGUCACUGCUAUCGGGGUUCGAUUAAGCCAUGCGAGUCGAGAGGGUUCAGACCCUCGGCGGACUGCUCAGUAACACGUGGAUAAUCUGCCCUAUGGUGGAGGAUAACCCCGGGAAACUGGGGAUAAUACUCCAUAAGUCAGGAGUACUGGAAUGUCUCCUAACUGAAAGUUGCGGCGCCAUAGGAUGAAUCUGCGGCCGAUUAGGUAGUUGUUGGGGUAACGGCCCAACAAGCCCGUAAUCGGUACGGGUUGUGGGAGCAAGAGCCCGGAGAUGGAAUCUGAGACACGAUUCCAGGCCCUACGGGGCGCAGCAGGCGCGAAAACUUUACAAUGCAGGAAACUGUGAUAAGGGAACCCCGAGUGCCCGUACACGCGGGCUGUCCCGGUGUUUAAAACACAUCGGAAGAAAGGGCCGGGCAAGACCGGUGCCAGCCGCCGCGGUAAUACCGGCGGCUCGAGUGGUGACCACUUUUAUUGGGCUUAAAGCGUUCGUAGCUUGAUUUUUAAGUCUCUUGGGAAAUCUCACGGCUUAACUGUGAGGCGUCUAAGAGAUACUGGGAAUCUAGGGACCGGGAGAGGUAAGAGGUACUUCAGGGGUAGAAGUGAAAUUCUGUAAUCCUUGAGGGACCACCGAUGGCGAAGGCAUCUUACCAGAACGGCUUCGACAGUGAGGAACGAAAGCUGGGGGAGCGAACGGGAUUAGAUACCCCGGUAGUCCCAGCCGUAAACUAUGCGCGUUAGGUGUGCCUGUAACUACGAGUUACCGGGGUGCCGAAGUGAAAACGUGAAACGUGCCGCCUGGGAAGUACGGUCGCAAGGCUGAAACUUAAAGGAAUUGGCGGGGGAGCACCACAACGGGUGGAGCCUGCGGUUUAAUUGGACUCAACGCCGGGCAGCUCACCGGAUAGGACAGCGGAAUGAUAGCCGGGCUGAAGACCUUGCUUGACCAGCUGAGAGGAGGUGCAUGGCCGUCGUCAGUUCGUACUGUGAAGCAUCCUGUUUAGUCAGGCAACGAGCGAGACCCCC
RNAcentral lists this ribosomal RNA (1041 nucleotides) under uncultured archaeon. Its description in RNAcentral is "bacterial SSU rRNA". It matches the Rfam family "Archaeal small subunit ribosomal RNA", at positions 7 to 1055 of the family's 1478-position model. The record is from RNAcentral.